UUCUGGAGUGCGUUCUGCGCCUUCAGA
Molecule: small RNA, 27 nt
Filed under: Bombyx mori (domestic silkworm)
Lineage: Eukaryota; Metazoa; Arthropoda; Insecta; Lepidoptera; Bombycidae
Description: ovarian small RNA-9670
Source: RNAcentral